RNAcentral lists this transfer RNA (74 nucleotides) under Salmo salar (Atlantic salmon). It matches the Rfam family "tRNA". Rfam says of the family: Transfer RNA (tRNA) molecules are approximately 80 nucleotides in length. Their secondary structure includes four short double-helical elements and three loops (D, anti-codon, and T loops). Lineage: Eukaryota; Metazoa; Chordata; Actinopteri; Salmoniformes; Salmonidae. The record is from Rfam by way of RNAcentral.
GACCGGUUAGCUCAGUUGGUUAGUGCGUGGUGCUAAUAACGCCAAGGUCAUAGGUUCGAUCCCCAUACUGGCCA